This 76-nucleotide transfer RNA is filed under the name Bifidobacterium longum subsp. infantis. RNAcentral describes it as "tRNA-Ala". It matches the Rfam family "tRNA". From Rfam's summary of the family: Transfer RNA (tRNA) molecules are approximately 80 nucleotides in length. Their secondary structure includes four short double-helical elements and three loops (D, anti-codon, and T loops). Further hydrogen bonds mediate the characteristic L-shaped molecular structure. tRNAs have two regions of fundamental functional importance: the anti-codon, which is responsible for specific mRNA codon recognition, and the 3' end, to which the tRNAs corresponding amino acid is attached (by aminoacyl-tRNA synthetases). tRNAs cope with the degeneracy of the genetic code in two manners: having more than one tRNA (with a specific anti-codon) for a particular amino acid; and 'wobble' base-pairing, i.e. permitting non-standard base-pairing at the 3rd anti-codon position. RNAcentral also lists the same sequence under 1 other name. Lineage: Bacteria; Bacillati; Actinomycetota; Actinomycetes; Bifidobacteriales; Bifidobacteriaceae. The record is from RNAcentral.
GGGGCUAUAGCGCAGCUGGUAGCGCAUCUGCUUUGCAAGCAGAGGGUCGCCGGUUCGAACCCGGCUAGCUCCACGA